This 110-nucleotide unclassified non-coding RNA is filed under the name uncultured Rozellomycota. RNAcentral's name for it is "uncultured Cryptomycota sequence contains ITS2". The record is from RNAcentral. Lineage: Eukaryota; Fungi; Rozellomycota.
UUUUUCAUCCUCUUUUAUCCAUUGAGGGACAUGGGUUGUCAUCAGUGACUGCCUGGAAUGCGGUGUGGUUGUGUUGUGAUAAGCACUGAUCGACCAAUCAUUUCUUUUGU